UACGUAGGGUGCGAGCGUUGUCCGGAAUUAUUGGGCGUAAAGAGCUCGUAGGCGGUGUGUCGCGUCGGCCGUGAAAACCUGCAGCUUAACUGUGGGCGUGCGGUCGAUACGGGCAUCACUGGAGUUCGGCAGGGGAGACUGGAAUUCCUGGUGUAGCGGUGAAAUGCGCAGAUAUCAGGAGGAACACCGGUGGCGAAGGCGGGUCUCUGGGCCGAUACUGACGCUGAGGCGCGAAAGCCAGGGGAGCAAACGGG
Molecule: ribosomal RNA, 254 nt
Filed under: uncultured bacterium
Lineage: Bacteria
Description: partial 16S ribosomal RNA
Rfam family: Bacterial small subunit ribosomal RNA
Source: RNAcentral